UACGUAGGGGCAAGCGUUGUCCGGAAUUAUUGGGCGUAAAGAGCUCGUAGGCGGCUCAGCAAGUCGGCUGUGAAAUCCCGAGGCUCAACCUCGGAACUGCAGUCGAUACUGCUGUGGCUAGAGUCUGGUAGAGGAGAAUGGAAUUCCCGGUGUAGAGGUGAAAUGCGCAGAUAUCGGGAGGAACACCAGUAGCGAAGGCGGUUCUCUGGGCCAGUACUGACGCUGAGGAGCAAAAGCGUGGGUAGCAAACAGGAUUA
Molecule: ribosomal RNA, 257 nt
Filed under: uncultured prokaryote
Description: partial 16S ribosomal RNA
Rfam family: Bacterial small subunit ribosomal RNA
Source: RNAcentral